AUUGAACGCUGGCGGCAUGCUUUACACAUGCAAGUCGAACGGCAGCGCGGGCUUCGGCCUGGCGGCGAGUGGCGAACGGGUGAGUAAUACAUCGGAACGUGCCCAGUAGUGGGGGAUAGCUCGGCGAAAGCCGGAUUAAUACCGCAUACGACCUGAGGGUGAAAGCGGGGGAUCUUCGGACCUCGCGCUAUUGGAGCGGCCGAUGGCAGAUUAGCUAGUUGGUGGGGUAAAGGCCUACCAAGGCGACGAUCUGUAGCUGGUCUGAGAGGACGACCAGCCACACUGGGACUGAGACACGGCCCAGACUCCUACGGGAGGCAGCAGUGGGGAAUUUUGGACAAUGGGCGUAAGCCUGAUCCAGCAAUGCCGCGUGUGUGAUGAAGGCCUUCGGGUUGUAAAGCACUUUUGGCGGGAACGAAAAGGACUGUGCCAAUACCACGGUUCGAUGACGGUACCCGCAGAAUAAGCACCGGCUAACUACGUG
Molecule: ribosomal RNA, 484 nt
Filed under: uncultured bacterium
Lineage: Bacteria
Description: partial 16S ribosomal RNA
Rfam family: Bacterial small subunit ribosomal RNA
Source: RNAcentral